RNAcentral lists this transfer RNA (72 nucleotides) under Bos taurus (domestic cattle). It matches the Rfam family "tRNA". Rfam says of the family: Transfer RNA (tRNA) molecules are approximately 80 nucleotides in length. Their secondary structure includes four short double-helical elements and three loops (D, anti-codon, and T loops). Lineage: Eukaryota; Metazoa; Chordata; Mammalia; Artiodactyla; Bovidae. RNAcentral also lists the same sequence under 3 other names. The record is from Rfam by way of RNAcentral.
UCCCUGGUGGUCCAGUGGUUAAGACACUGUGUUCCAGUACAGGGGAGCUGGGUUUGAUCCCUGGUCAGGGAA